Molecule: ribosomal RNA, 385 nt
Filed under: uncultured bacterium
Lineage: Bacteria
Description: bacterial SSU rRNA
Rfam family: Bacterial small subunit ribosomal RNA
Source: RNAcentral
AUUGAACGCUGGCGGCAUGCCUUACACAUGCAAGUCGAACGGCAGCACGGGGGCAACCCUAGUGGCGAGUGGCGAACGGGUGAGUAACGCAUCGGAACGUGCCCAGUAGUGGGGGAUAACUAGUCGAAAGAUUAGCUAAUACCGCAUACGACCUAUGGGUGAAAGCGGGGGACCUUUACCGGCCUCGCGCUAUCGGAGCGGCCGAUGUCUGAUUAGCUAGUUGGCGGGGUAAAAGCCCACCAAGGCGACGAUCAGUAGCUGGUCUGAGAGGACGACCAGCCACACUGGGACUGAGACACGGCCCAGACUCCUACGGGAGGGCAGCAGUGGGGAAUUUUGGACAAUGGGCGCAAGCCUGAUCCAGCCAUGCCGCGUGCGGGAAGAA